RNAcentral lists this ribosomal RNA (485 nucleotides) under uncultured bacterium. RNAcentral describes it as "bacterial SSU rRNA". It matches the Rfam family "Bacterial small subunit ribosomal RNA", at positions 359 to 836 of the family's 1533-position model. The record is from RNAcentral.
GAUUUUCGCAAUGCCCGAAAGGGUGACGAAGCGACGCCGCGUGCGGGAAGAAGGCCUUCGGGUUGUAAACCGCUGUCGGGAGUUAAGAAAUGUAAGGAUGUUAAUAGCAUCUUUGCUUGACUAAGGCUCCGGAGGAAGCCACGGCUAACUCUGUGCCAGCAGCCGCGGUAAUACAGAGGCGGCAAGCGUUGUUCGGAAUUAUUGGGCGUAAAGAGCACGUAGGCGGCUAUGUAAGUCGGUUGUGAAAGCCUUCCGCUCAACGGGAGAACAGCAUCCGAUACUGCAUGGCUUGAGUGCGGGAGGGGAAAGUGGAACUUCUGGUGGAGCGGUGAAAUGCGUAGAUAUCAGAAGGAACGCCGGCGGCGAAAGCGGCUCUCUGGCCCAUAACUGACGCUGAGUGUGCGAAAGCUAGGGGAGCAAACGGGAUUAGAUACCCCGGUAGUCCUAGCCGUAAACGAUGGGCACUAAGUAGAGGGGUUUUAAUC